UUAAGUGACUAAGCGUACAAGGUGGAUGCCUUGGCAAUCAGAGGCGAAGAAGGACGUGCUAAUCUGCGAAAAGCUUGGAUGAGUCGAUAAGAGGCGUUUAAUCCAAGAUAUCCGAAUGGGGAAACCCAGUAGAUGAAGAAUCUACUAUCAACAAGUGAAUUCAUAGCUUGUUGAGGCAAACCGGGAGAACUGAAACAUCUAAGUACCCCGAGGAAAAGAAAUCAACCGAGAUUUCGUCAGUAGCGGCGAGCGAAAGCGAAAGAGCCAGUAAGUGAUAGCAGUAUAGUGAGGAGAAUGUGUUGGGAAGCACAAUCAAAGAGGGUGAUAAUCCCGUAUCUAAAAACCAUAUUGUGGUACUAAGCUAACGAGAAGUAGGGCGGGACACGUGAUAUCCUGUUUGAAGAAGGGGGGACCAUCCUCCAAGGCUAAAUACUCCUGAUUGACCGAUAGUGAACCAGUACUGUGAAGGAAAGGCGAAAAGAACCCCGGUGAGGGGAGUGAAAUAGAACCUGAAACCUUGUACGUACAAGCAGUGGGAGCCCCAUCACUUAAUCCGAUUGGAAGGUGAUGAAAAGCAACCGCACUUAAACAAUGGUAAGAGGAGCGAAGCGAGUCAAACCACCCAAAAGAAGCAGUGGGAUUAAGUGAUGGGGUGACUGCGUACCUUUUGUAUAAUGGGUCAGCGACUUAUAUUUUGUAGCGAGGUUAACUGAAUAGGGGAGCCGAAGGGAAACCGAGUCUUAACUGGGCGAGUAGUUGCAAGGUAUAGACCCGAAACCCGGUGAUCUAGCCAUGGGCAGGUUGAAGGUUGGGUAACACUAACUGGAGGACCGAACCGACUAAUGUUGAAAAAUUAGCGGAUGACUUGUGGCUGGGGGUGAAAGGCCAAUCAAACCGGGAGAUAGCUGGUUCUCCCCGAAAUCUAUUUAGGUAGAGCCUUGAGGUGACACCUUUGGGGGUAGAGCACUGUUUCGGCUAGGGGGCCAUCCCGGCUUACCAACCCGAUGCAAACUACGAAUACCAAAGAGUGAUACUCAGGAGACACACGGCGGGUGCUAACGUCCGUCGUGGAGAGGGAAACAACCCAGACCGCCAGCUAAGGUCCCCAAGUCUAUAUUAAGUGGGAAACGAAGUGGGAAGGCUUAGACAGCUAGGAUGUUGGCUUAGAAGCAGCCAUCAUUUAAAGAAAGCGUAAUAGCUCACUAGUCGAGUCGGCCUGCGCGGAAGAUGUAACGGGGCUGAAAUAUAGCACCGAAGCUGCGGCAUCAGAAUUUAUUCUGUUGGGUAGGGGAGCGUUGUGUAAGCGGAAGAAGGUUCAUCGAGAGGUGGGCUGGACGUAUCACAAGUGCGAAUGCUGACAUAAGUAACGAUAAAACGGGUGAAAAACCCGUUCGCCGGAAGACCAAGGGUUCCUGUCCAACGUUAAUCGGGGCAGGGUGAGUCGGCUCCUAAGGCGAGGCUGAAAAGCGUAGUCGAUGGGAAACAGGUUAAUAUUCCUGUACUUGGUAAAGCUGCGAUGUGGGGACGGAGUAGGUUAGGUUAUCGCACUGUUGGAUAUGUGCGUUUAAGUUGGUAGGUGGGAAGUUUAGGCAAAUCCGGGCUUCCUUAACACAGAGAGAUGAUGACGAGGCUCUACGGAGCUGAAGUAACUGAUACCACACUUCCAGGAAAAGCCACUAAGCGAAAGGCUUUACUAAACCGUACUGAAAACCGACACAGGUGGUCAGGUAGAGAAUACUCAGGCGCUUGAGAGAACUCGGGUGAAGGAACUAGGCAAAAUAGCACCGUAACUUCGGGAGAAGGUGCGCCGGCGUAGAUUGUAAGGGCUAGCCCCUGAAGGUUGAACCGGUCGAAGAUACCAGCUGGCUGCAACUGUUUAUUAAAAACACAGCACUCUGCAAACACGAAAGUGGACGUAUAGGGUGUGAUGCCUGCCCGGUGCUGGAAGGUUAAUUGAUGGUGUAAUCGCAAGAGAAGCACCUGAUCGAAGCCCCAGUAAACGGCGGCCGUAACUAUAACGGUCCUAAGGUAGCGAAAUUCCUUGUCGGGUAAGUUCCGACCUGCACGAAUGGCAUAAUGAUGGCCAGGCUGUCUCCACCCGAGACUCAGUGAAAUUGAAAUCGCCGUGAAGAUGCGGUGUACCCGCGGCUAGACGGAAAGACCCCGUGAACCUUUACUAUAGCUUGACACUGAACAUUGAAUUUUGAUGUGUAGGAUAGGUGGGAGACUUAGAAGUAGUCACGCCAGUGAUUAUGGAGUCGACCUUGAAAUACCACCCUUUAACGUUUGAUGUUCUAACGAAGAUGACGAAACGUGGUCUCGGACAGUGUCUGGUGGGUAGUUUGACUGGGGCGGUCUCCUCCCAAAGCGUAACGGAGGAGCACGAAGGUUUGCUAAUCACGGUCGGACAUCGUGAGGUUAGUGCAAUGGUAUAAGCAAGCUUAACUGCGAGACAGACAAGUCGAGCAGGUACGAAAGUAGGUCAUAGUGAUCCGGUGGUUCUGAAUGGAAGGGCCAUCGCUCAACGGAUAAAAGGUACUCCGGGGAUAACAGGCUGAUACCGCCCAAGAGUUCAUAUCGACGGCGGUGUUUGGCACCUCGAUGUCGGCUCAUCACAUCCUGGGGCUGAAGUAGGUCCCAAGGGUAUGGCUGUUCGCCAUUUAAAGUGGUACGCGAGCUGGGUUUAGAACGUCGUGAGACAGUUCGGUCCCUAUCUGCCGUGGGCGUAGGAGAAUUGGUUGGGGCUGCUCCUAGUACGAGAGGACCGGAGUGGACGCACCACUGGUGUUCCGGUUGUGUCGCCAGACGCAUUGCCGGGUAGCUAAGUGCGGAAGAGAUAAGUGCUGAAAGCAUCUAAGCACGAAACUUGCCAAGAGAUGAGUUCUCCCAAUCAAAGAGAUUGUAAGGGUUGUUGUAGACUACGACGUAGAUAGGUCUGGUGUGUAAGUGUAGUGAUGCAUUGAGCUAACAGAUACUAAUUGCCCGAGAGGCUUAACU
RNAcentral lists this ribosomal RNA (2997 nucleotides) under Haemophilus influenzae. RNAcentral's name for it is "23S ribosomal RNA". It matches the Rfam family "Bacterial large subunit ribosomal RNA". Lineage: Bacteria; Pseudomonadati; Pseudomonadota; Gammaproteobacteria; Pasteurellales; Pasteurellaceae. The record is from RNAcentral.